AUGAGUGACUUCAGUUGUCAAAGGGAGCUAUUAAUCCCAUUAGUGUUUAAUGAAAACAAAUGUCCUGAAAGGAAAAGAAAAGGUAUGCACAGCUUUGAUUUUGUAGAGAAUUUAAUGAAGGAAAUAUCUAAAGGUAUGUUGUUAGGGAACCCAACAAAGGAUUUUGAAGCUUUCAGGUCCUAACAACAAGAAGCCAUUGCCAUUACUGGGCUUGAUAUAUUUACAGGAAAGACACCUAAGAGUAUAGCAUUAAUAGGAAUGAAUGGAUCUUAAGAGGUGUGCUUGUAGAGGGACAUAGCACCUGCCACAACUAUAGCAUUGAAGCAGAGAGGAAACAAAGGAAUUGAUUGCCUGAUUCCUUGUUUUCUUCCUAUAAUUCUGUCUCUUACCAGUGCCUCCCUUUGUCUGAACUCUAUCAGAAGGCUAAGUUUGCAGAAUAUAGUGGUCAGCCUUCUGAGAUUGAGAAAGGCAGAAAAUGGAUCUUGAGGUCAAACAGAAUAAGCAGCACACAAACUUUUGUCUUUAUUGAUCUAUAUUUGCAUAGUUUUUUUAUGUUGUUGAUUUAUCUCCUACAUUUAUUAAACUUAAACUGUUCUUAGAUUCAUUUCACACUUUUUUUCUAAUAUUUUGAGAUAGAUGCUUACCUAUUAAUGUUCAGUUUUUCUUCUUUUUAAUAUGAAACUAUCAUUUCCCUUUAGGUACUCCUUCAGCUGUAUCCAUAUUAUUUGAAUUUUGUUAUCAUUUAAUUCAAAAUAUUUUCUAAUUUUUAUUAAAACUUUUAUUUGAUUAAUUGGGUAUGUAGGAGUAUAUUUUUGAGUGUCCAAACAUAUGAAUAUUCUCUAUAAUUUUGUAAUUGAUGUUUAGCUUACAUAUAGUCAUAUGACAUAUAAUUUCAAUCCUUUAAAAUUCAUUCAGUUUUUUUAUGCCCACUAUAUUUGUCAAUAGAUGUUCUGAGUGUUUGAAAAGAAUGUGUUAUGAAUUUAUAAAUAAGUACUUCAUAUGUGACUAUUAGGUCAAGUUUUAAAAUUGAAUUGUUUAGAUUUUCUGUCUCCCUGAUGAUUAUUUGCCUUUUUUUCCCCUGUCAGUUAGUGUCUGAGUGCAUUUUCUGUUGCUAUACCAGAAUAUCCAAGACUGCAUAAUUUGUAAAGGAAGAAGAUUUAUUUAACUCACGAUUAUGGAGGUUGGUAGGUCCAAGAUUGGGCAGUUGCACAUUUUUGGCUUCUGGCGAGGGCUGCAUGCUGCAUAACAUGGUGGAGAAGUGGAAGGGAAAAGGGCAUGUAAAGAGAGAGGGAGCGAAGAGGCUGACGAGUUUAAUAACAACCUGCUGUCACAAGAACUCAUCCAGUCUCAAAAGAUUUAACCCAGUUUCGUGAAAAAGACAUUACUUCAUCUUAAUGAUCUAAUCCCCUCUUAAAGGCCCCCACCUCACAACCCUGUUGCAUUGGCAAUUAAAUUUCAACAGAAUGUUGGAAGGGACAAACCACAUUCAAACCACAGCAGUUCCUAAGAGGUGAGCAUAAACUUCUGCCACUAUGAUUGUGGAUUUGUCUAUUUGUCCUUAUUUUUGUCAGUCUGUUUAUUUUGAGGCCAUGUUAUUAAGUUUAUAUGAAUUCAAAACAGUAAUAUCUUAUUUGUGAAUUACAUCUUUUAAUCAUUAUGAAGGAUCCUUCUUAUCUCCAUGAUACUUUUAGCUGUAAAGUCUAAUUUGAUGUUAAUUUACUUAUAUCACCUUUAUUUUCCUC
Macaca mulatta (Rhesus monkey) is the source of this 1742-nucleotide long non-coding RNA. The record is from Ensembl. Lineage: Eukaryota; Metazoa; Chordata; Mammalia; Primates; Cercopithecidae.